Molecule: transfer RNA, 73 nt
Filed under: Paramuricea clavata
Lineage: Eukaryota; Metazoa; Cnidaria; Anthozoa; Malacalcyonacea; Plexauridae
Rfam family: tRNA
About the family: Transfer RNA (tRNA) molecules are approximately 80 nucleotides in length. Their secondary structure includes four short double-helical elements and three loops (D, anti-codon, and T loops). Further hydrogen bonds mediate the characteristic L-shaped molecular structure. tRNAs have two regions of fundamental functional importance: the anti-codon, which is responsible for specific mRNA codon recognition, and the 3' end, to which the tRNAs corresponding amino acid is attached (by aminoacyl-tRNA synthetases). tRNAs cope with the degeneracy of the genetic code in two manners: having more than one tRNA (with a specific anti-codon) for a particular amino acid; and 'wobble' base-pairing, i.e. permitting non-standard base-pairing at the 3rd anti-codon position.
Source: Rfam by way of RNAcentral
GCCCGGUUAGCUCAGUUGGUAGAGCAUCAGACUUUUAAUCUGAGGGCCAUGGGUUCGAGUCGCAUAUCGGGCU